RNAcentral lists this ribosomal RNA (1355 nucleotides) under uncultured bacterium. RNAcentral describes it as "bacterial SSU rRNA". It matches the Rfam family "Bacterial small subunit ribosomal RNA", at positions 28 to 1381 of the family's 1533-position model. The record is from RNAcentral.
AUUGAACGCUGGCGGCAGGCUUAACACAUGCAAGUCGAACGAUGAUUAUCUAGCUUGCUAGAUAUGAUUAGUGGCGGACGGGUGAGUAACAUUUAGGAAUCUGCCUAGUAGUGGGGGAUAGCUCGGGGAAACUCGAAUUAAUACCGCAUACGACCUACGGGUGAAAGGGGGCGCAAGCUCUUGCUAUUAGAUGAGCCUAAAUCAGAUUAGCUAGUUGGUGGGGUAAAGGCCCACCAAGGCGACGAUCUGUAACUGGUCUGAGAGGAUGAUCAGUCACACCGGAACUGAGACACGGUCCGGACUCCUACGGGAGGCAGCAGUGGGGAAUAUUGGACAAUGGGGGCAACCCUGAUCCAGCCAUGCCGCGUGUGUGAAGAAGGCCUUUUGGUUGUAAAGCACUUUAAGCAGGGAGGAGAGGCUAAUGGUUAAUACCCAUUAGAUUAGACGUUACCUGCAGAAUAAGCACCGGCUAACUCUGUGCCAGCAGCCGCGGUAAUACAGAGGGUGCGAGCGUUAAUCGGAAUUACUGGGCGUAAAGCGAGUGUAGGUGGCUCAUUAAGUCACAUGUGAAAUCCCCGGGCUUAACCUGGGAACUGCAUGUGAUACUGGUGGUGCUAGAAUAUGUGAGAGGGAAGUAGAAUUCCAGGUGUAGCGGUGAAAUGCGUAGAGAUCUGGAGGAAUACCGAUGGCGAAGGCAGCUUCCUGGCAUAAUAUUGACACUGAGAUUCGAAAGCGUGGGUAGCAAACAGGAUUAGAUACCCUGGUAGUCCACGCCGUAAACGAUGUCUACUAGCCGUUGGGGUCCUUGAGACUUUAGUGGCGCAGUUAACGCGAUAAGUAGACCGCCUGGGGAGUACGGCCGCAAGGUUAAAACUCAAAUGAAUUGACGGGGGCCCGCACAAGCGGUGGAGCAUGUGGUUUAAUUCGAUGCAACGCGAAGAACCUUACCUGGUCUUGACAUAGUGAGAAUCCUGCAGAGAUGCGGGAGUGCCUUCGGGAAUUCACAUACAGGUGCUGCAUGGCUGUCGUCAGCUCGUGUCGUGAGAUGUUGGGUUAAGUCCCGCAACGAGCGCAACCCUUUUCCUUAUUUGCCAGCGGGUUAAGCCGGGAACUUUAAGGAUACUGCCAGUGACAAACUGGAGGAAGGCGGGGACGACGUCAAGUCAUCAUGGCCCUUACGACCAGGGCUACACACGUGCUACAAUGGUAGGUACAGAGGGUUGCUACACAGCGAUGUGGUGCUAAUCUCAAAAAGCCUAUCGUAGUCCGGAUUGGAGUCUGCAACUCGACUCCAUGAAGUCGGAAUCGCUAGUAAUCGCGGAUCAGAAUGCCGCGGUGAAUACGUUCCCGGGCCU